AAUGAACGCUAGCGGCAGGCUUAACACAUGCAAGUCGAGGGGCAGCGCGGGAUAGCAAUAUCCUGGCGGCGACCGGCGGAAGGGUGCGUAACGCGUGAGCGACAUGCCCGUUGCCCGGGGACAACCGGUGGAAACGCCGACUAAUCCCCGAUGGGAUAUUGUGCCGCAUGGCACGAUAUUGAAAGUUACGGCGGCGACGGAUUGGCUCGCGUCCGAUUAGCUGGUUGGCGGGGUAACGGCCCACCAAGGCUGCGAUCGGUAGGGGUUCUGAGAGGAAGGCCCCCCACAAUGGGACUGAGACACGGCCCAUACUCCUACGGGAGGCAGCAGUGAGGAAUAUUGGUCAAUGGGCGGAAGCCUGAACCAGCCAUGCCGCGUGCGGGAAGGAGGCCCUAUGGGCUGUGAACCGCUUUUGCCUGGGGGCAAUAAGGGCGUCGCGCACGUCCGAUGAGAGUACCAGGCGAAUAAGCAUCGGCCAACUCCGUG
This 486-nucleotide ribosomal RNA is filed under the name uncultured bacterium. Its description in RNAcentral is "partial 16S ribosomal RNA". It matches the Rfam family "Bacterial small subunit ribosomal RNA", at positions 28 to 507 of the family's 1533-position model. The record is from RNAcentral.